Molecule: ribosomal RNA, 408 nt
Filed under: Paramaja gibba
Lineage: Eukaryota; Metazoa; Arthropoda; Malacostraca; Decapoda; Majidae
Description: partial large subunit ribosomal RNA
Rfam family: Bacterial large subunit ribosomal RNA
Source: RNAcentral
CUGGUAUGAAAGGUUGAACAAAGAAAAGACUGUCUCUAUUGUAAGUCUUAAACUUGACUUUUAAGUGAAAAGGCUUAAAUAAUUUAGAGGGACGAUAAGACCCUAUAAAGCUUUAUAAAGAAUAAAAGUUAAUGAAGAAUUAAAUAAAUUUAUAAUUUUGUGAUUUUAUUUUGUUGGGGUGACGUUUAUAUAAAUUGUUGUAACUGUAAAAAAUUGUAACAUGGAAUAGGUGAGUUUGAAUGUAAUUGAUCCUUUUUAAAGAUUUAAAUCUAAGUUACUUUAGGGAUAACAGCGUUAUUUCUUUUGAGAGUUCAAAUCGAAAAAGAAGUUUGCGACCUCGAUGUUGAAUUAAAUUAUCUGAAUAGUGUAGCAGCUAAAAGAGAAAGUCUGUUCGACUUUUAAAUGUUU